AGAGUGUAGCUCAGUGAUAGAGCACAUGCUUAGCAUACAUGAGGUCCUGGAUUCAAUCCCCAGUAUCUCUA
Molecule: transfer RNA, 71 nt
Filed under: Camelus ferus (Wild Bactrian camel)
Lineage: Eukaryota; Metazoa; Chordata; Mammalia; Artiodactyla; Camelidae
Rfam family: tRNA
About the family: Transfer RNA (tRNA) molecules are approximately 80 nucleotides in length. Their secondary structure includes four short double-helical elements and three loops (D, anti-codon, and T loops).
Source: Rfam by way of RNAcentral